This 395-nucleotide ribosomal RNA is filed under the name uncultured bacterium. Its description in RNAcentral is "partial 16S ribosomal RNA". It matches the Rfam family "Bacterial small subunit ribosomal RNA", at positions 338 to 730 of the family's 1533-position model. The record is from RNAcentral.
CCUACGGGAGGCAGCAGUGAGGAAUAUUGGUCAAUGGGCGCGAGCCUGAACCAGCCAAGUCGCGUGCAGGAAGACGGUCCUAUGGAUUGUAAACUGCUUUUGUCGGGGAGUAAAAUACGCCACGCGUGGCGUUUUGAAAGUACCCCAUGAAAAAGCAUCGGCUAACUCCGUGCCAGCAGCCGCGGUAAUACGGAGGAUGCGAGCGUUAUCCGGAUUUAUUGGGUUUAAAGGGUGCGUAGGUUGUAUUUUAAGUCAGCGGUGAAAGUUUGUGGCUCAACCAUAGCAUUGCCGCUGAAACUGGAAGACUUGAGUGUGUUUGAGGUAGGCGGAAUGCGUGGUGUAGCGGUGAAAUGCAUAGAUAUCACGAAGAACUCCGAUUGCGAAGGCAGCUUACG